CCCUUAGAUGUUCUAAGCCGCACGCGCGCUACACUGACGAAUGCAACGAGCUUAUAACCUUGGCCGAAAGGUCUGGGUAAUCUCCAAAUUUCGUCGUGAUGGGGAUAGAUUAUUGCAAUUAUUAAUCUUCAACGAGGAAUGCCUAGUAAGCGCAAGUCAUCAGCUUGCGUUGAUUACGUCCCUGCCCUUUGUACACACCGCCCGUCGCUCCUACCGAUUGAAUGGUCCGGUGAAGCGUUCGGACCGUGGCCUUUGGACGGUUCGCCGUCUGUUGGCUGCGGGAAGUUCGUUAAACCUUAUCAUUUAGAGGAAGGAGAAGUCGUAACA
This 327-nucleotide ribosomal RNA is filed under the name uncultured eukaryote. Its description in RNAcentral is "partial 18S ribosomal RNA". It matches the Rfam family "Eukaryotic small subunit ribosomal RNA", at positions 1470 to 1796 of the family's 1831-position model. The record is from RNAcentral.